Non-coding RNA from Camellia sinensis, 1775 nucleotides. The record is from RefSeq and is a predicted model, not a curated record. NCBI's taxonomy places the organism in Eukaryota, Viridiplantae, Streptophyta, Magnoliopsida, Ericales, Theaceae.
AUGAAAAUGAUCAGGUGUGUCAUGAGAUACAUUUACUUACUAUGUCCAUUUGUUGCUUGAAAUUUCCAUUAAGAUUGUUAACCAUAUAUGUGUAUAGCACAAACAAAAAAAGUACCAAGGUUCACGAUAUAUCUUUAGUUAAUGAUCUUUGGCGGAGCUACUAUUUUUCCCUCUUGCUCGUCUUGGUUAGAUCUUGUAGUGGUUGCAUCUGUGAUUUUCCUAUUUUGAUAUUUGUUGCUUCUACCUCCUCGAGCAUUUAUUAAUUUUGCAAUUGUCUAAUUUUCCAGUGAGUUCUAUAGGAAAUGUUUGUGGGUUGAGAAAGGUCCAGAGUUGUCGUCGUCCAGCUAUGCUCAUUAUGGGUGUCUGAAAGUCAGUCAUGUCGUUGUCGUCGUAUUGCCGCACUUGUCAAGCUUAUUCUGCCUUCUCGUGAUCCAUGUCGAGUUGUAUUAAUAAACUGGGAUUUGGUAUUUGUGGUCUAGAAUGCAACUUAUAUGAACUCAGGAAAAAUUGGGAAGCUUUUCUCCAAAGUUGAAAAAGUUCGAAAUUGAUGCUUUGAAGUGUUGUGUAUCAAUCACAUUUGUACUCUUCUUUUUUGUUACAUUUAUUCUUUUCUUAGUAUUUUAAAUUUUGAGAUGAUGAUGGAGAAUAUGAAUUCGGUUGUGAUUUUUGUAAUUUCAAUUUUGAUGUGUUUGGUUGAAUGUAUAUAUUUUUUGAAACAGGGUUUGAAUAUAUUUUGGAGAAUUCUAACUAGUGGCAAAUAAAAUAUUAUUGCUGAAUGGUUAAAAUUUCAUUAGGUUUCUUUUUUGAAGAAAAAAAAAAUUUGCUUUUGGCGGCGUUUUUAAAAAAUGCCACUAUAGGGUUUGCAUAACGUCAUCUCGCCGGAAGGAAUCACCGCCGGUGACUGUAGCAUGACGUUUCUAAAACAUCACAAUAAGGUCUACAAUGGCGUUUUUUAAACGUCGCAAACAUAUAACGACGGUCGUAUCUUUAACGUAUAAUAAAAACGUCACCAAAAGUUUUAGCGGCGUUUUUUAGAUAUUUAGCGGCGUUUUACAAACGCCAUUAAAAACUGUAUUUCCUAUAGUGUAACAAAGAAAACCCAACUCAGAAAACACCUCUAGACACCAAACUCAGUAGAAGAAAGCUCCUAAAUACCCUAAAUUCCACUGGUUUAGGCCUUACAGUUGGGUCUGUGGUUGCUUAGCCAGCAAGAGUUGAACCAGAGAGCCUAAUUGAAGCCACUUCAACCAGAUUGUCAUACUCAAGGUUCUUGCAGUACCUUGAUGAAGGUGCUGUGAGGAAGGUGGACUUGUUUGAGAACGGGUCGGUGGCCAUAGCUGAGGUAUUCAAUCCUACACUCAAUAAAAUCCAGAGAGUUAAAGUACAGUUUCCUGGAUUGCCACAAGAGCUUUUGAGGAAGCUGAGAAAGAAGAAUGUGGACUUUGCAGCUCAUCCAAUGGAAGUGAACAUGGUAGCUGCAAUACUUGAUUUGUUGGGUAAUUUGGCUUUUCCAUUGAUAUUGCUUGGAUCUUUGCUGCUGAGGACUUCCUCUGGAAAUACUCCUGGAAGGCCUAACUUGCCUUUUGGACUUGGCAUGAGCAAAGCCAAAUUUCAAAUGGAACAAACACAGGAGUAACCUUUGAGGAUGUAGUUGGAGUUGAUGAAGCAAAACAAGAUUUUCAAGAAAUUGUUGAGUUCCUAAAAGCCCCAGGAAAGUUUGCUGCAGUGGGGGCAAAAUUCCAAAAGGAGUACUACUAAUAGGCCCACCGGGCACU